RNAcentral lists this long non-coding RNA (1359 nucleotides) under Anser cygnoides (Swan goose). Its description in RNAcentral is "lncRNA (ENSACDG00005012894.1)". The record is from RNAcentral. Lineage: Eukaryota; Metazoa; Chordata; Aves; Anseriformes; Anatidae.
AGACAUCGCUCAGGAGAACCAAAAUGCCUGCCUACAGAUCUCCAUCCACUAUCCAGGGGGCUGGCAGAUCCUGAGGAGUCUUCAGGGGGUCCACCCCACAGGAAAACACAAGAAGAGGGAAGCAGCAGAAAUUCACUUGUGGGUCAUUCUUCAAGGAAAGCCUCUUUAGGGAAAGAAGGCGAACAAGUUCCCACGGAUUCCAGGCCUCCCCAUGCCUCCAGCACACACAGUUCAGAGGGCAUCUGCCAUUACAUAAGCAGACACCGAGUGACCCGCAGCAAGCAUCUUCCUUCCCUCCUCAUUGUUCAGGCGAGGAGCAUUUCAGUGCAGGCCCAAGCCGCCAAGGACCGGCAGCACCAGAGGAACAAGCCAUUAUGCUUCAGCAGGGCUGUGGCUGCCUGCCUGUCUGCCCUCCCAGCACCACUACUCCAGGGCACAGCAACCUCCAGGGGCUGGCAGCAGGGCCCCGGCACAGGGCAGGGACAGCUCCCACCACCCCACUGCAGGGCCCUGGCCCCACCACGGGUCACACAGGCCCUGUCCCCACUAGCCCAGCCCCACGCACACGCCCCAUCCCUGCACCACGGAGCGUUGCCAGCCCUCGGGGCCUGCCACCCACACCGGGAAGGGGUGGGCACAAAGCCCCGGGGCAGCGGUAACAGCCCAGCCCCAGCAGCCCGGGGCAGGAUGAGGCCCCAGCCCGGCACCCUCCCGCAGCGGGGCAGGAUGGGGCCCCGGGCAGCGCCCAGACCUCGCCUCCCGAACAGGGGGGCUGUGGGAGGAGGCCCCAGCCCAGCUCCGCCGCGGCGGGAGGCGGCUGGGGAAGGGGGCGCGGCCCAGCCCGGCCCGGCGCAGCCCGGCACGGCCCUUUCUCGGCGGGCCCGUGCCGAGGCUCUCCGGGAGGCGGCGGCGAGCGCAGGCCGGGCGCUGCGUGACCUUCACCGGGGGGAGCCCCGGGGCGGCGGUGACCUUGCCCGGAGCGAGGCCGGCGGCGGGGCCGGGGGUGCGGGACAGGCUGCGGGACCCCCCCAACCCAACUGGGAACCGCCGCCGCCGCCGCCACCCCUCUCCCCUUCCCUCCCCUCCUCUUCUCUCCCCUCCCGCGGGCGGACCCCGCAGACGGAGCCCCGCAGCCCCGGCGCCGCUCACCUUCACAGUGACGGGGCCAAGCCGGGAGAGCGCGGCACGGCACGGCGCCGAGGAGAAGGAGGAGGAGGUGGGAGAGGCCCGGACCCGCGCGGCUCUGCCCGCUCCGCUCCGCUCCCUGCGCCGCGCCGAGCGCUCUGCGCCGCGCCGCCGCGCCGCGCUCAAAUACCGCCCCGCCCGCUGCGGCGCGCGGCCCGCCGCCCUCCCAUUGGC